AUUGAACGCUGGCGGCAUGCUUUACACAUGCAAGUCGGACGGCAGCGGGGUAGUGCUUGCACUACUGCCGGCGAGUGGCGAACGGGUGAGUAACAUAUCGGAACGUACCGAGCAGUGGGGGAUAACUAAUCGAAAGAUUAGCUAAUACCGCAUAUCUUCUGAGGAAGAAAGCAGGGGACCUUUGGGCCUUGCGCUGUUUGAGCGGCCGAUAUCUGAUUAGCCGGUUGGUGGGGUAAAGGCCUACCAAGGCGACGAUCAGUAGCGGGUCUGAGAGGAUGAUCCGCCACACUGGGACUGAGACACGGCCCAGACUCCUACGGGAGGCAGCAGUGGGGAAUUUUGGACAAUGGGGGCAACCCUGAUCCAGCCAUGCCGCGUGUCUGAAGAAGGCCUUCGGGUUGUAAAGGACUUUUGUCCGGGAAGAAAAGCGCGAUGUUAAUACCAUUGCGUGCUGACGGUACCGGAAGAAUAAGCA
Molecule: ribosomal RNA, 475 nt
Filed under: Neisseria sp. oral taxon 014
Lineage: Bacteria; Pseudomonadati; Pseudomonadota; Betaproteobacteria; Neisseriales; Neisseriaceae
Description: bacterial SSU rRNA
Rfam family: Bacterial small subunit ribosomal RNA
Source: RNAcentral